Molecule: long non-coding RNA, 1366 nt
Organism: Perognathus longimembris pacificus (Pacific pocket mouse)
Lineage: Eukaryota; Metazoa; Chordata; Mammalia; Rodentia; Heteromyidae
Exons: 3
Source: RefSeq, a predicted model, not a curated record
GGCAUUUUGUUGCUAUUAUAAACUCUUUCAAACUGUUCUUCGUAGACUGGCUUUGAAUUGUGAUCUCAAAUUCCUCAGUAGCUAGGAUUACAGGUGUGAGCCACUAGCACCCCCACUAGAUUGUUGUUAAGUAAUUGGGUUUAAGUGCUGAUAAUUCUUAAACCAUGGUCAAACUUGGGCAAUUCUCAUGAUAUGAGAGAAUCUCCUAGCAAGUAGGGACAAGCUGUAGGAUGAUUAGGAAUUGCUUUAUUGAAAUCAAACAAGAACAUGGCAAAAAGCCGGUGAAAAUUCCAGAUGACAAACAAACAGCUGGCCUUCCUAGGCUUUUGAUUUAUACCUGAAUCUGCUUGGUUUUUUAAUGGGCUGCAUAGUACUGUUUGAGGACUGAGUGGGGUCUGCCUUGCCGUAUGGAGACCUUUUUCUAUGAAUGCUGGGCAUUAGCAUAUUUGAUGGUCCUUUGAUCCAGUUCCAAGUCCUAAACCAGAAAGAAAGGAUUAUAGCUAAAUACUCGUCAGUCAAAGAACAAGGAUUGCUGGGACCAGAUGUGCGAAAUGGUCCACAAAAGAGAACCAGAGUGUUCUCUGAAUACUGAUUGGAUCAUGUUUCCUGGGCUGAGGUGUGUCUCUGAGUUUACUGUAGCAACAGUGGUGUUGACGGCUGGGGCAUAUGCUUCUGGUGGAUGAGCAGCUAGAUUAUGUAUGAACUGCUCUCUGGGCAGAGCUGAAGACUGGAGCUGAUACCUUCACAUCCACUGGUGACUUUACAAGGAAACUUUGACGCCACUUGGUUAACAUUACAAACAUUUUGCCUCACUAGAAGGUUCUGGAUGUGAAGUGCUUGUUCCUUUCCAAGUUGAUUUUUAAGGCAGGAGGUAGAGACCAUGACAAACUUAAGCAACUAGAUCUGCUGUGGGUAGCUUUUCUAUUUGUUUUUGUUUUGUGUGCUGGAACUCAGACCCACAGCUUCAAGCAUUCCAAGCAUACUAGACAAUUGCUCUACCACGAAGCUGGUUGUAUAUUUUCAACAUUAGGUUAUUUGUCAAUUUCAUUGAUGAGGUUUUUUAAUUGAACCCUUUUAAAUUGAGUCCAAAUAGAAUGAGGAAGGGGGAAAGUGGAGAGAUUAUUCAGAUUCCAGUUGACAAAAUUAUUCAAGUUUUCUGAGCAUCAUUUUCUCCCGUCUGAGAAGUGAAGAUCAUGUGUGCAAGUGUAUGUAUGCAGUACUUGGCACACUGAUAAGAGAUGUGGCAAAUGCUUAAUGAAUGUUUGCUUUUGGCUCUCUUAAAGCAACAUACACAUAGCAGAUGCAGAUAAUUACAGGGCUUCCUUUCCAAGAUGCCAGAGGUAGGGGAGGGGUCACACCAUUGGGG